GAUGAAGAACGCAGCGAAAUGCGAUAAGUAAUGUGAAUUGCAGAAUUCAGUGAAUCAUCGAAUGUUUGAACGCACAUUGCGCCCGCUAGUAUUCUGGCGGGCAUGCCUGUCCGAGCGUCAUUUCAACCCUCAAGCCCCCGGGCUUGGUGUUGGGGAUCGGCGAGCCUCCGCGCCCGCCGUCCCCUAAAUCUAGUGGCGGUCUCGCUGUAGCUUCCUCUGCGUAGUAGCACACCUAGCACUGGGAAACAGCGCGGCCACGCCGUUAAACCCCCAACUUCUGAACGUUUGACCUCGGAUCAGGUAGGAAUACCCGCUGAACUUAAGCAUAUCAAUAAGCGGAGGA
Molecule: unclassified non-coding RNA, 343 nt
Filed under: soil metagenome
Description: partial contains 5.8S ribosomal RNA, internal transcribed spacer 2, and large subunit ribosomal RNA
Rfam family: 5.8S ribosomal RNA (bases 1-120)
Source: RNAcentral